CAGCAGCCACGGGAAUACGUAGGGUGCAAGCGUUAAUCGGAAUUACUGGGCGUAAAGCGUGCGCAGGCGGUUUGUUAAGACAGAUGUGAAAUCCCCGGGCUCAACCUGGGAACUGCAUCCAAAACUGGUGAGCUAGAGUACGGUAGAGGGUAGUGGAAUUUCCUGUGUAGCGGUGAAAUGCGUAGAUAUGCGGAGGAACACCGAUGGCGAAGGCAGCCCCCUGGGCCAAUACUGACGCUCAUGCACGAAAGCGUGGGGAGUAAACAGGAUUAGAUACCCGCGUAGUCCCUGUCUCUUAUAA
Molecule: ribosomal RNA, 301 nt
Filed under: uncultured bacterium
Lineage: Bacteria
Description: partial 16S ribosomal RNA
Rfam family: Bacterial small subunit ribosomal RNA
Source: RNAcentral